RNAcentral lists this ribosomal RNA (984 nucleotides) under Triticum aestivum (bread wheat). Its description in RNAcentral is "partial small subunit ribosomal RNA". Lineage: Eukaryota; Viridiplantae; Streptophyta; Magnoliopsida; Poales; Poaceae. The record is from RNAcentral.
AUGUCCGCCAUCGUCGUCCCCAGCCCGGUGCCGUCCCCCUCCGACGACGCCGAGGGCAUCAGGAAGGCGCUCCAAGGAUGGCGGGCGGACAAGGAGGCCCUGGUGCGCAUACUGGCGGGGAGGACGGCGGCGCAGCGGUCGGCGAUCCGCCGCGCCUACGCCUUCCUCUUCCGGGAGCCGCUCCUCAACUCCUUCCGCCAGCGGCUCUCCCGCCAGUACUGCCCCGUCACCGUCGACUUCUGGAAGGCGGUCAUCCUGUGGACGAUGGACCCGGCGGAGCGGGACGCGAACCUGGUGCACGGCGCGCUGCGGCGGCGAGGGGACGGCGAUCACCUCGCCGUGCUGGUGGAGGUCGCGUGCGCGUCCGACCCCGACCACCUCGUGGCCGUCCGGCGCGCCUACCGCUCCCUCUUCGGCUGCUCCGUCGAGGAGGACCUCGCGUCCUGCGCCGCGCUCCAGCAGCCGCUGAGGAAGAUGCUGGUGAGCCUCGUGAGCUCCUACCGCUACGGCGGUGACCGCGUCGACGCGGACGUGGCGAGGCUGGAGGCGUCGCAGCUCUCGGAGGCCGUCCGGAAGAAGCAGCCGCACCACGACGAGGUGGUGCGGAUCCUCAGCACCCGGAGCAAGCCCCAGCUCCGGGCGACGCUCCGGCGGUACAGGGAGGACCACGGCACCGACAUCGUCGAGGACAUCGACAGCCGCUGCAGCAGCCAGUUCGCCAGGACGCUCAGGAGCGCCGUCUGGUGCCUGACCUCGCCGGAAAAGCACUUCGCGGAGAUGAUCAGGGAGUCGGUGGUGGGGCUGGGGACGUACGAGGACAUGCUGACGAGGGUGGUGGUGUCGCGGGCGGAGAUCGACAUGAAGCAGAUCAAGGAGGAGUACAGGGCCAGGUUCAAGACCACCGUGACCUGCGACGUCGUCGACGACACCUCCUUCGGCUACAAGGACAUCCUGCUGGCCCUGGUUGGCUGCGAGGAAGAGUGA